This 795-nucleotide ribosomal RNA is filed under the name uncultured bacterium. Its description in RNAcentral is "bacterial SSU rRNA". It matches the Rfam family "Bacterial small subunit ribosomal RNA", at positions 8 to 796 of the family's 1533-position model. The record is from RNAcentral.
AGAGUUUGAUCAUGGCUCAGAUUGAACGCUGGCGGAAUGCUUUACACAUGCAAGUCGAACGGCAGCACGGGUACUUGUACCUGGUGGCGAGUGGCGAACGGGUGAGUAACAUAUCGGAACGUAUCCAAUAAUGGGGGAUAACGAGUCGAAAGAUUCGCUAAUACCGCAUACGCCCUACGGGGGAAAGCUAGGGACCUUCGGGCCUGGCGUUAAUGGAGCGGCCGAUAUCUGAUUAGCUAGUUGGUGAGGUAAAGGCUCACCAAGGCGACGAUUAGUAGCUGGUCUGAGAGGACGACCAGCCACACUGGAACUGAGACACGGUCCAGACUCCUACGGGAGGCAGCAGUGGGGAAUUUUGGACAAUGGGGGCAACCCUGAUCCAGCCAUUCCGCGUGAGUGAAGAAGGCCUUCGGGUUGUAAAGCUCUUUCGCAAGGGAAGAAAACUUAUCCUCUAACAUAGGAUGAGGUUGACGGUACCUUGAUAAGAAGCACCGGCUAACUACGUGCCAGCAGCCGCGGUAAUACGUAGGGUGCGAGCGUUAAUCGGAAUUACUGGGCGUAAAGCGUGCGCAGGCUGUUUUGUAAGUCAGAUGUGAAAUCCCCGAACUCAACUUGGGAACUGCGUUUGAAACUACAAGACUAGAAUAUGUCAGAGGGGGGUAGAAUUCCACGUGUAGCAGUGAAAUGCGUAGAGAUGUGGAGGAAUACCAAUGGCGAAGGCAGCCCCCUGGGAUAAUAUUGACGCUCAUGCACGAAAGCGUGGGGAGCAAACAGGAUUAGAUACCCCGGUAGUCC